CUCAUUCAUCUUAGACUUCUGACCUUAACACAGAACUCUUCAUCGAUGUCAUAGUAUCUCACCUCCUGUACAUGUCCGCAAAUUACGUAGUCAUACGCAUCAAGAGAUUUGUAUGCUUGCAGCUUAUCUCUUGUGUACACGCUAGGUUUCU
Molecule: long non-coding RNA, 151 nt
Organism: Thalassophryne amazonica
Lineage: Eukaryota; Metazoa; Chordata; Actinopteri; Batrachoidiformes; Batrachoididae
Exons: 4
Source: RefSeq, a predicted model, not a curated record